AGUGAACGCUGGCGGUAGGCCUAACACAUGCAAGUCGAACGGCAGCACAGUAAGAUCUUGCUCUUACGGGUGUCGAGUGGCGGACGGGUGAGGAAUACAUCGGAAUCUACUUUUUCGUGGGGGAUAACGUAGGGAAACUUACGCUAAUACCUCAUACUACCUACGGGUGAAAUCAUGGGUUCUUCUUACCUUUCUCGUUUGUAUUAGCCGAUGUCGGAUUAGCUAGUUGGCUGGGUAAAGGCCCACCAAGGCGACGAUCCGUAGCUGGUCUGAGAGGAUGAUCAGCCACAUUGGAACUGAGACACGGUCCAGACUCCUACGGGAGGCAGCAGUGGGGAAUAUUGGACAAUGGGCGCAAGCCUGAUACAGCCAUACCGCGUGGGUGAAGAAGGCCUUCGGGUUGUAAAGCCCUUUUGUUGGGAAAGAAAAGAAGCAGGUUAAUACCCCGCUGUUCUGACGGUACCCAAAGAAUAAGCACCGGCUAACUUCGUG
Molecule: ribosomal RNA, 492 nt
Filed under: uncultured bacterium
Lineage: Bacteria
Description: partial 16S ribosomal RNA
Rfam family: Bacterial small subunit ribosomal RNA
Source: RNAcentral